CCGGCCGCCAGCGGCGCUCGCAAAGUUCGGAUCCGCAAGGACCGGGCCAGCGGGACGUCCGCGUGGCAGGGUGCACUUUCUCCGCGGUCGAGUGCUACGACCGGUUUCGAGGCGGUCAGAAGCCCGGCGGAAAGGUAGCGCCGCCCUUCGGGGUGUCGUGUUAUAGGCCGCCGCGGUGGACUCGCCGCGAGACCGAGGACGCUUGCCGCGCCGAGCGGUCCCGGGCCGUCUUGGGAGGUUCGACCUCGGCUGCACUGCUCCGCAAAGCACCGUAACCGCCGCCCUAGCACGGGUCCGGAGACCGCCGGCGCCUCGGGUCAGUAGCG
RNAcentral lists this ribosomal RNA (326 nucleotides) under Corbicula sp. CFG22a. RNAcentral's name for it is "partial 28S ribosomal RNA". Lineage: Eukaryota; Metazoa; Mollusca; Bivalvia; Venerida; Cyrenidae. The record is from RNAcentral.